RNAcentral lists this ribosomal RNA (460 nucleotides) under uncultured bacterium. RNAcentral's name for it is "partial 16S ribosomal RNA". It matches the Rfam family "Bacterial small subunit ribosomal RNA", at positions 338 to 795 of the family's 1533-position model. The record is from RNAcentral.
CCUACGGGAGGCAGCAGUGAGGAAUAUUGGUCAAUGGGCGGAAGCCUGAACCAGCCAAGUCGCGUGAGGGAAUAAGGCCCUACGUGUCGUAAACCUCUUUUGCCGGGGAGCAAUGGCUGGGACGUGUCCCCGCCCGGAGAGUCCCCGGAGAAAAAGCAUCGGCUAACUCGGUGCCAGCGGCCGCGGUAAUACGGGGGAGGCGAGCGUUGUCCGGAUUUAUUGGGUUUAAGGGGUGCGUAGGCGGGCUUUUAAGUCAGCGGUAAAAAUUCGGGGCUCAACCCCGUCCGGCCGUUGAAACUGGGGGCCUUGAGUGGGAGAGAAGAAGGUGGAAUGCGUGGUGUAGCGGUGAAAUGCAUAGAUAUCACGCAGAACCCCGAUUGCGAAGGCAGCCUUCCGGCGCCAUACUGACGCUGAGGCACGAAAGUGCGGGGAUCGAACAGGAUUAGAUACCCUAGUAGUC